Molecule: small nuclear RNA, 113 nt
Filed under: Heterocephalus glaber (naked mole-rat)
Lineage: Eukaryota; Metazoa; Chordata; Mammalia; Rodentia; Bathyergidae
Source: RNAcentral
GUGCUCGCUUAGGCAGCACAUAUACUAAAAUUGGAGCGAUACAGAGAAGAUUAGCAUGACCCCUAUGCAAAGAUGAUACCCAAAUUCGCGUGAAGCGUUCAUUCCAUAUUUUU